This 254-nucleotide ribosomal RNA is filed under the name uncultured bacterium. RNAcentral describes it as "partial 16S ribosomal RNA". It matches the Rfam family "Bacterial small subunit ribosomal RNA", at positions 524 to 776 of the family's 1533-position model. The record is from RNAcentral.
UACGUAGGGAGCAAGCGUUGUCCGGAUUUAUUGGGCGUAAAGAGCUCGUAGGCGGUUUAGAAAGUCGGGUGUGAAACCUCCAGGCUCAACCUGGAGCCGCCACUCGAUACUUCUAUGACUUGAGUUCGGUAGGGGAUCACGGAAUUCCUGGUGUAGCGGUGAAAUGCGCAGAUAUCAGGAGGAACACCGAUGGCGAAGGCAGUGAUCUGGGCCGAUACUGACGCUGAGGAGCGAAAGCGUGGGGAGCGAACAGG